UUAGCUGUUCCAGGAAGAGAGCUAAGAGUCCGUGAAAGCAGACUUCAAACCAAGAAAUUGAAUAUUACAAUUUUUUCUCUUUUCGGUAAAACAAGGAUUAACCUCUAUGGAAACUAUCGUGGGACCCCUGGUUUAUUUCCUCCUGGUACUUUCUUUUAAAAUGGCACAUAUGGACAACCAGAAUGUAACCUUCACAACUCCUCCAAACCUUGGCCUAAACCUGACAGAAUUCUUUGUAGCAUCAACUUCACUUAACUCUACUGUAACUCCAACUACUCUCUUAACCUCAACCAAGGGCACAGCCGAACAUACCAGCACAAAGCAUGGCAAUACUACCUUCUCUACUACAGUGGCUGCAACUGAAAGCAUAAGUCAACAUCAAACCUCUCAGUCAGCUACCUUGACUUCACCAACAGGCAGUGGAUCACUAAACACCACUACACCAGCCACACAAUCGCCUGUGCUUACAAUGACCACGCAAACUAUCCAGACUACAACACAUUUCAGUACUACAUCUGAUACACUAGGUUCAACUGUAAACUCAUCUCACAGCAUGACUGCACCUACAGUUUCAGUGAAUGCUACAGACGGCUUGAGACUUAACACAUCAGAGAGAAAUAUGACAAUAAUCUUCAGCGGCAUGCUUGGGCUCUUUGCUUUGACAAUAGUUAUGAUCAUGGUUUACAAAUGCAAACAUAAAUUCCAGUACUUGCAUCAACCUCUUGACACCACAGAUGGCACAGAUGGAUUUGUGCUCGAUGAUGACACCCUUGUUAUUUCUGGAGGACUUUAUGAUGCCCAUCCAAUCUACGACAAUGUGCCACCCAAUCCUGCAGAACCGUCACAAUUUCGCCUAGAAUUUCUUCAUUAAAGAGAGACCUCUAUGCUAAAUCACAGUGAUAAGCCAUUUAUAUGGACAUGGACAUAAUCCCAUUUCUCCUCCAUGGAUCAGUAUUAUUUCAGGACUAAAAAUAACCUGUGGAAUUAAAUUAUUUACCAACAGAAAAUCAUACUGGAAGUAAUGAUGAAAAACAAUGACUGAUGUAACUAUAAUUAAUUAAAUUAUUUUAUUAGUUUGUGGGAAUGACAAAACAAACAUAUUCAAAUAACACCUUCAUCAAAAUAAAAAAAAGGUUUAUGUAGACAGAACUAAGGGAAUUGCUAACAAUUUUUAGCAUAACGAUUUUCAAAAAAAACAGUAUUAUGAAAAACUUAUUUUUUCACAAGAACUUUAAAGCAAAGAGGGUGACAUUGUAGUCACAUAAAGAGAGCAUCAGUGUUUUUCACAAAAUGAGCUCUAAAAUCAUAAAUGAGCAAAUAUUAAGACUGAACCUGUUCAAAGUUUUCUAUUUGGAUAUUUUUUCAAUUACAACAAUGUCACCACAUUAACACUAUAAAUUAGCAUAAAGCGAAGUUCAUUCCAAACAUAAAGCUAGCUUAUUUUUAGAUAACAAAUAGUAUGAGUUUGUGGUCAUAUACAGUGAACUUCCAAAGAAAACCUACAAACUUAAGAACUAUGAAUUCAAAGCAAGUAGAAGUGAACAAUAUUAAGGCUAGACCCUUUAGAUUAGAAUAAUUUAUUUAAUCUGAACCUUGUAUUAUAUUCUAUAUGACUUUGUGUUGCUCUAUGAUGGAGUGGUGAAAUUUUCAAGUUUUACCUUGCAUCUUCCGAAACGAAUUCUGGGUAUUGGCACCAGCUCCCCCACAACCCUAAGGACUACUACAUAAAGAAUGAAUGAAUGAACAUAAUAAUCUUCUCUCAUGUCUCUGUUUAUUUGAGGAAAUGUGACUUAAUACAUCUGUAAUGAGAUGUAUUAAUGUAUGUGGGUUAUGAAACACAAUGAAUGAAGUGAACAGUUUUGAUAAAUUGCUUUUUAUUUGUUUCUAAGGCAACUUCCAUAUAUACAGAAAAUACAACAAACUGCAGCUGGUUCCACAUAUUCCUAUUCUGUUAGCAAACAAAGCACUGCUUGAAGAUUGUAUUAACUUCCAAAACAAUCCUAAUUGACUGAACAAUUAUAUUACAAAACAACAUGUUAAAUCAAAUUCUUAAUGAAUAUCUUAUAGGAAUGAACAACAUUUGAGGGUUGGAGAAAUGGCUUUCUAAAAAUAG
Molecule: long non-coding RNA, 2113 nt
Organism: Poeciliopsis prolifica (blackstripe livebearer)
Lineage: Eukaryota; Metazoa; Chordata; Actinopteri; Cyprinodontiformes; Poeciliidae
Exons: 4
Source: RefSeq, a predicted model, not a curated record